This 492-nucleotide ribosomal RNA is filed under the name uncultured bacterium. RNAcentral's name for it is "partial 16S ribosomal RNA". It matches the Rfam family "Bacterial small subunit ribosomal RNA", at positions 29 to 507 of the family's 1533-position model. The record is from RNAcentral.
AGUGAACGCUGGCGGUAGGCCUAACACAUGCAAGUCGAACGGCAGCACAGUAAGAGCUUGCUCUUACGGGUGGCGAGUGGCGGACGGGUGAGGAAUACAUCGGAAUCUACUUUUUCGUGGGGGAUAACGUAGGGAAACUUACGCUAAUACCGCAUACGACCUACGGGUGAAAGCAGGGGAUCUUCGGACCUUGCGCGAUUGAAUGAGCCGAUGUGGGAUUAGCUAGUUGGCGGGGUAAAGGCCCACCAAGGCGACGAUCCGUAGCUGGUCUGAGAGGAUGAUCAGCCACACUGGAGCUGAGACACGGUCCAGACUCCUACGGGAGGCAGCAGUGGGGAAUAUUAGACAAUGGGCGCAAGCCUGAUCCAGCCAUACCGCGUGGGUGAAGAAGGCCUUCGGGUUGUAAAGCCCUUUUGUUGGGAAAGAAAAGCAGCAGGUUAAUACCCCGCUGUUCUGACGGUACCCAAAGAAUAAGCACCGGCUAACUUCGUG